UAGCAUAUCAAUAAGCGGAGGAAAAGAAACCAACAGGGAUUGCCCCCAGUAACGGCGAGUGAAGCGGCAACAGCUCAAAUUUGAAAUCUGGCCCCCAGGGUCCGAGUUGUAAUUUGCAGAGGAUGCUUUUGGCGAGGUGCCUUCCGAGUUCCCUGGAACGGGACGCCAUAGAGGGUGAGAGCCCCGUCUGGUUGGACACCGAGCCUCUGUAAAGCUCCUUCGACGAGUCGAGUAGUUUGGGAAUGCUGCUCUAAAUGGGAGGUAUAUGUCUUCUAAAGCUAAAUAUUGGCCAGAGACCGAUAGCGCACAAGUAGAGUGAUCGAAAGAUGAAAAGCACUUUGAAAAGAGGGUUAAAUAGUACGUGAAAUUGUUGAAAGGGAAGCGCUCAUGACCAGACUUGGGCCCGGUGAAUCAUCCAGCGUUCUCGCUGGUGCACUUUGCCGGGCUCAGGCCAGCAUCAGUUUGCUCCGGGGGAUAAAGGCUUUGGGAAUGUGGCUCCUCCGGGAGUGUUAUAGCCCAUUGCACAAUACCCUGGGGCGGACUGAGGUUCGCGCAUUUAUGCAAGGAUGCUGGCGUAAUGGUCAUCAGCGACCCGUCUUGAAACACGGACCAAGGAGUCGUCUUCGUAUGCGAGUGUUCGGGUGUUAAACCCCUACGCGUAAUGAAAGUGAACGUAGGUGAGAGCUUCGGCGCAUCAUCGACCGAUCCUGAUGUUCUCGGAUGGAUUUGAGUAAGAGCAUACGGGGCCGGACCCGAAAGAAGGUGAACUAUGCCUGUAUAGGGUGAAGCCAGAGGAAACUCUGGUGGAGGCUCGCAGCGGUUCUGACGUGCAAAUCGAUCGUCAAAUAUGGGCAUGGGGGCGAAAGACUAAUCGAACCUUCUAGUAGCUGGUUUCCGCCGA
Molecule: ribosomal RNA, 901 nt
Filed under: Keithomyces carneus
Lineage: Eukaryota; Fungi; Ascomycota; Sordariomycetes; Hypocreales; Clavicipitaceae
Description: partial large subunit ribosomal RNA
Rfam family: Eukaryotic large subunit ribosomal RNA
Source: RNAcentral